UUUCUACUCCCUCCGUCCGGAAAUACUUGUCAUCAAAAUGGAUAAAAAAAGGUGUAUCUAGAACUAAAAUACAUCUAGAUACAUCCCCUUUUAUUCAUCUUGAUGACAAGUAUUUUCGGACGGAGGGAGUAUAAU
Molecule: non-coding RNA, 135 nt
Organism: Triticum aestivum (bread wheat)
Lineage: Eukaryota; Viridiplantae; Streptophyta; Magnoliopsida; Poales; Poaceae
Source: Rfam